UACGUAGGGUGCGAGCGUUGUCCGGAAUUACUGGGCGUAAAGAGCUUGUAGGCGGUUUGUCGCGUCUGCUGUGAAAAUCCGGGGCUCAACCCCGGACUUGCAGUGGGUACGGGCAGACUAGAGUGUGGUAGGGGAGACUGGAAUUCCUGGUGUAGCGGUGAAAUGCGCAGAUAUCAGGAGGAACACCGAUGGCGAAGGCAGGUCUCUGGGCCACUACUGACGCUGAGAAGCGAAAGCAUGGGGAGCGAACAGGAUUAGAUA
This 261-nucleotide ribosomal RNA is filed under the name uncultured prokaryote. Its description in RNAcentral is "partial 16S ribosomal RNA". It matches the Rfam family "Bacterial small subunit ribosomal RNA", at positions 524 to 784 of the family's 1533-position model. The record is from RNAcentral.